Orbicella faveolata is the source of this 888-nucleotide long non-coding RNA. RefSeq lists it as uncharacterized. NCBI's taxonomy places the organism in Eukaryota, Metazoa, Cnidaria, Anthozoa, Scleractinia, Merulinidae. The record is from RefSeq and is a predicted model, not a curated record.
CAUCUCAUCUUAGUGUUAUUAACUAAAGACAGCUCGUUGAACAAGCUGCUCGGGAGCACAGAAAAAAAGUAGAGAAACAAAAAAUUAUUUAUCAUGAAAAACGGCAUUGUAACAGCAUUCGCUAUCUUGCUUGUUAUGGGCGCGGUUGUGCAGAAAGGUGAUUCAUUCAUCAGAGCCGGAAGAGAAAUGAUCUACAAUAAAGAAAGAGAACCUCAGCAGCCUAUCGAAGACUUCUAUGACAGAGUCGCAGCGCCGCCCCCACAGGUGCUAUUUAAGAAAGGUUAUGGCAUGAAGCACGAAAGAGAAGACAUCGCCUUGAAGCGAAACUGAACAAGAACCUCGUUGUAAUUAGAUAAAAGUAUUAAUUUCUUGCUGAAACUAUUUUCAUUUAAGUAUACUUAUUAACUGAUAACUGUUGUAAUAAACAUAAGCCGAUUGCUUAAUGAAUUGUUAACAAAAUGAACGUAAAUUAAACGUCUUACAUCAUAACUCUUGGAUUUUGUUCCUGAGUAAAUCUUAGACGUUUCUUUACCUUUAAUUUCUUUCGUUUUUAUUCUUCUUCGAUGCGAUUUCGUUUAUUUAUUGUUAAUAUUUUCCUCCCCUCCCCUCUCUUCUCAUCUGAGCUCUCUUCCCUUCUCCUCUCUUCCCGUGUGUCCUCCUCCUGCCCUUGCCCCGCCCUCUCUUCUAUUUUCGUCCUUCCUCUCCUCUCCUCUCCUCUUUUUUCUAUUUCCUCUAACCAAUGGUUGUAUCCAAAUGACUGUAAAUCAAAGUCUUUGUACCUCCGCAGAAGGUUCUUUUACCCGUGUUACCUAAAGAUUUGAAAAAGUUGAAAUCUAAUUAAGCAAAUGAAACUUUUUGAGAUGGACUAAUGCAUUGUUUAGUUAUAUC